AAGUCGUAACAAGGUUUCCGUAGGUGAACCUGCGGAAGGAUCAUUAUUGAGAUAGUCAGAAGCCUAUUAGGUCACCCAAACGCUUGAAAUAUUAGCGGAAUGGGCAGUAAUACAAUCGGCAUGAACCGUUUGAAUUCCAAGGGCCAAGGCUUAGUCCCACCCCGAUGCUAUAUUAUAACUCUGUUGCUUUCCGGGCGUCAUACCCCGGAGAGAACCCAACUCUUGAAUUUUAUGGAACGUCUGAGUACUAUAUAAUAGUUAAAA
RNAcentral lists this unclassified non-coding RNA (264 nucleotides) under plant metagenome. RNAcentral's name for it is "partial contains small subunit ribosomal RNA and internal transcribed spacer 1". The stretch from base 1 to 46 matches the Rfam family "Eukaryotic small subunit ribosomal RNA", at positions 1786 to 1831 of the family's 1831-position model. The record is from RNAcentral.